This 107-nucleotide ribosomal RNA is filed under the name Periophthalmus magnuspinnatus. The record is from RNAcentral. Lineage: Eukaryota; Metazoa; Chordata; Actinopteri; Gobiiformes; Gobiidae.
CUCACCUGUCAAUGCUCCAUCUGGACUGAAGCUGAAGGUAAACAGGGCCGGGCCUGGUCAGUACGUGGAUGGGAGACCGUCGGGGAGACCAGGCGCAACAGUGGAGC